CCUACGGGAGGCAGCAGUGGGGAAUUUUCCGCAAUGGGCGAAAGCCUGACGGAGCAACGCCGCGUGAGGGAUGAAGGCCUCUGGGCUGUAAACCUCUUUUAUCAAGGAAGAAGAUCUGACGGUACUUGAUGAAUAAGCCACGGCUAAUUCCGUGCCAGCAGCCGCGGUAAUACGGGAGUGGCAAGCGUUAUCCGGAAUUAUUGGGCGUAAAGCGUCCGCAGGCGGUCUUGUAAGUCUGUCGUUAAAGCGUGGAGCUCAACUCCAUUUCGGCGGUGGAAACUACAAGACUAGAGUGUGGUAGGGGCAGAGGGAAUUCCCGGUGUAGCGGUGAAAUGCGUAGAUAUCGGGAAGAACACCAGUGGCGAAGGCGCUCUGCUGGGCCAUAACUGACGCUCAUGGACGAAAGCUAGGGGAGCGAAAGGGAUUAGAUACCCCUGUAGUCCUAGCCGUAAACGAUGAACACUAGGUNUCGGGGGAAUCGACCCCCUCGGUGUCGUAGCUAACGCGUUAAGUGUUCCGCCUGGGGAGUACGCACGCAAGUGUGAACUCAAAUGAAUUGACCGG
RNAcentral lists this ribosomal RNA (564 nucleotides) under uncultured bacterium. Its description in RNAcentral is "bacterial SSU rRNA". It matches the Rfam family "Bacterial small subunit ribosomal RNA", at positions 338 to 917 of the family's 1533-position model. The record is from RNAcentral.